This 1907-nucleotide long non-coding RNA is filed under the name Rhinolophus ferrumequinum (greater horseshoe bat). RNAcentral describes it as "lncRNA (ENSRFEG00010016942.1)". Lineage: Eukaryota; Metazoa; Chordata; Mammalia; Chiroptera; Rhinolophidae. The record is from RNAcentral.
AAUGCUUACAAAAAUAUUUUCAGAUCUGAGACCGAUGCUGGACAGAGCUGUAGGGACAUCCUCCAACUUUAUAGCGAUGCUCUAACAAAAACUUGGUACAGUGGCGUACUUACAGGGGCUAAUUGUCAGGCAAAGUGUGUGGUGACUUUGAAAAAGACUGCAGUGCCAUGCCCGCUCACCCGCCCUCCACCAAGUCAAAAUAACACAAUCCACACUUUGAAAACUAUCCUGUUAUCACGGAGACCUCCAAUUCUAUCAGUUGACCAUUAAAGAAUGUCUAUCAAGCAUCCAGAAAAACAAUGAUUUGGUCAUUGCCCUCAAAGAACUGACCUAGACAGAGCCUAAUAGAAAAUACCAAGUAUUUUCUCCCUUACCUGGUUUCAUUUAAUUCCUACAACGCUGAGGUAGGUAUGGUCAUUAUCCCCUUCCUACAGGGGAAGAAACUAAGGCUCAGGGAGUAAAUAUUUUGCUACAAGUCACAGAACCAGUAAGUGGCAGAGCCAGGGCUUGAACCCUGGAGUCUAAAUCCUUGGGUACUGAUGGGCACCAUUUAGACCAGGAAGCCCAAACCUUAAGCUUGCUGUUCCAGUUUUUCUUACCAAAGGAAGGGUCCCCCAUUUCACUAAUACCAUUGACUUUUGAUUUCUCCGCUGAUCCAGGAUGAAGAGCCUGGUACCUUAUGCCACAAUGAGGCUUUUAGAAGUGCUGCUGCGCAGUUUGGCAGAGGGACCAGCGCCCCGUGCCUGCGCUUGGGAGCCAGGCUGACCCCUGGGUCUGCGAGCCAAACCUGCCCCAGUUCGCUCAGCACUUCCAACCGGUACCCCUCAGCUGCCAGGCCAGAAACCCACGAAGGGGCUCCAGCAGUCAGGGCCUGGGGAAGCAUCCCGACAGACGGAGGCGUGCGGGCCUGUCCGCUUGCUGCCCGGCCGCCCAGCCUGCUGCCCAGCCCCGGCCUCUCGGGUGGACGGGGCUCCAGCACCAACACCGCUUGGCCGGCCCCGCGCAGCCCCGAGCCCCCGCCUCUGGCUGCCGGCCCGCUCGCGGUGCUCACUGCGCGCUCUGGACCGGGCCCGCCUCUCGGCGGUUUUCGCUUUCGCUUUCCUGCCGAUAUAGUUGAGGAAAAUGAAAGUGGCCGUGGCCAGGACUGGCGAAGCUGCCGUCGGGGCGAGGGGCGCAGAGUGCGGCCGCGGCGGGUCUGGAGCCUGGAGCCUGGAGCCUGGAGCCUGGAACCCCGGCCGCAGCCAGCGCCGGGCGAGGCUUGGAGAGCAGCUAGGCCAGGAUGCAGCCUCUCCCCAAGGCCCUGCCCGUUUGAAGACUCACUCUGCAGGACCCCAACCCUCAAGGCUGGCAGAAAUGGCCAGGCAUGGGUGCACUCUGGGACCCAGUCUUUCCCAGACCAGGGAACUUUCUGUCCACUGCGUCCGCCAGCAGAAGGGUGAAAGAUGAGCGCCCCGAUCUUUGCCCUUGGUCCAAUCUACCGAGCUCCUUCGUGGUAUGCGAGAAUUGGGCGCCACCUCAAGGCUGUGGAGACAGCCCCUGCCCUUGGGGUAUUACCCACACCCUGGCAAGAGAAGAUGUAUGCCAGUUGCCCACAAGACCAGUUGUGUGGAACAAGCAUACGUGAGAGGAGGCACUAAGUGUUGAAAGUGACGAAAUCUGCAAACACUUGACUUAAUUUGAGUGACCGUGUUUUUGUAGCCAAUACCAAGAACCCUCUUCUACUCAACUUUUGUCUCAAAAGAAAGGAAUUCAGCCAAAUCACAUGGAUCUGAUCAUAACACCCAUUACUGAAACAAAACUGGAAUGAUCUUAACUUUGAAAAUAGCCAUCUGAAUUUGACAAAAGAUGACUCAACACCCUAAUUUUUAAAACCUGGAGUCCCCGCUCUGUCCCGCCCCAGAAGGGUG